Molecule: transfer RNA, 72 nt
Filed under: Jakoba bahamiensis
Lineage: Eukaryota; Jakobea; Jakobida; Jakobidae
Description: tRNA-Ile
Rfam family: tRNA
About the family: Transfer RNA (tRNA) molecules are approximately 80 nucleotides in length. Their secondary structure includes four short double-helical elements and three loops (D, anti-codon, and T loops).
Source: RNAcentral
GAGCUUAUAACUCAGUGGUAGAGUGCUCGCCUGAUAAGCGUGAAGUCGGUAGUUCGAACCUACCUAAGCUCA